UACGGGGGGGGCAAGCGUUGUUCGGAAUUACUGGGCGUAAAGGGCUCGUAGGCGGCCAACUAAGUCAGACGUGAAAUCCCUCGGCUUAACCGGGGAACUGCGUCUGAUACUGGAUGGCUAGAGUUUGGGAGAGGGAUGCGGAAUUCCAGGUGUAGCGGUGAAAUGCGUAGAUAUCUGGAGGAACACCGGUGGCGAAGGCGGCAUCCUGGACCAACACUGACGCUGAGGAGCGAAAGCCAGGGGAGCAAACGGG
Molecule: ribosomal RNA, 253 nt
Filed under: uncultured bacterium
Lineage: Bacteria
Description: partial 16S ribosomal RNA
Rfam family: Bacterial small subunit ribosomal RNA
Source: RNAcentral